GACGAACGCUGGCGGCGUGCCUAACACAUGCAAGUCAACGAGAAAGGGGUAGCAAUAUCCUGAGUAAAGUGGCGCACGGGUGAGUAACACGUAGGUAAUCUGCCAUUAGGACGGGGACAACCACGCGAAAGCGUAGCUAAUACCCGAUGAAUCAGCGAUACCGCAUGGUAUUGCUAUUAAAUACCGCAAGGUGCCUAAUGAUGAACCUGCGUCCCAUUAGGUAGUUGGGAGGUAACGGCUCACCAAGCCGACGAUGGGUAGCUGGUCUGAGAGGAUGAUCAGCCACACUGGAACUGAGAC
This 300-nucleotide ribosomal RNA is filed under the name uncultured bacterium. Its description in RNAcentral is "bacterial SSU rRNA". It matches the Rfam family "Bacterial small subunit ribosomal RNA", at positions 28 to 325 of the family's 1533-position model. The record is from RNAcentral.